CCUACGGGCGGCUGCAGUCGAGAAUCAUUCACAAUGGGGGAAACCCUGAUGGUGCGACGCCGCGUGGGGGAAUGAAGGUCUUCGGAUUGUAAACCCCUGUCAUGUGGGAGCAAAUUAAAAAGAUAGUACCACAAGAGGAAGAGACGGCUAACUCUGUGCCAGCAGCCGCGGUAAUACAGAGGUCUCAAGCGUUGUUCGGAAUCACUGGGCGUAAGGCGUGCGUAGGCUGUGUCGUAAGUCGUGUGUGAAAGGCGCGGGCUCAACCCGCGGACGGAACAUGAUACUGCGAGACUAGAGUAAUGGAGGGGGAACCGGAAUUCUCGGUGUAGCAGUGAAAUGCGUAGAUAUCGAGAGGAACACUCGUGGCGAAGGCGGGUUCCUGGACAUUAACUGACGCUGAGGCACGAAGGCCAGGGGAGCGAAAGGGAUUAGAUACCCGGGUAGUC
RNAcentral lists this ribosomal RNA (446 nucleotides) under uncultured bacterium. RNAcentral's name for it is "partial 16S ribosomal RNA". It matches the Rfam family "Bacterial small subunit ribosomal RNA", at positions 338 to 795 of the family's 1533-position model. The record is from RNAcentral.